Molecule: long non-coding RNA, 2669 nt
Filed under: Triticum aestivum (bread wheat)
Lineage: Eukaryota; Viridiplantae; Streptophyta; Magnoliopsida; Poales; Poaceae
Description: long non-coding RNA (TAES_LNC019373)
Source: RNAcentral
ACACACUCGAGCUCACUCUCUCGUCCCCCUCUCACCCACCCCUUCUCGCUCCCCUCCGGAUCCCCGCCGUCGCCGGCCUCUCCUCGACUCCCUUUCUCCCCACCACCACGCACCCCGUUUCCUCCCACCGCGCACCCCGUACCGUAGGUCAAAAGCUUGAUUUUUUAGGCGCCUGCGACGAGCUUCUGGGCGGCGGUGGAUCGGCGUGCGUCCACGCCGGCUUCGCAGCGGCGCUUGAUGUGGAGCGGCGCUGGAGAAGCGGAGCGGGGCUUUCUUCCUCACCUCACAGCGCCGUCCUCCUCCACGACCACGCAGCCGCAGCGGCGGAGGAGCCGAAUCCCUAGCCAGCGAGCUCAGGGAGCCAUGGGUCCAUGGGUACGAAUCCAUCCUCUUCUCUCUCUCUGACCCACCCCCGUCUCUUCUCCCUCCCUCUCUGACCCCCGUCUCCAUGACCAGGGCGACGCCAUGGAAGGGCCACCAACUAUAGCAGCGAGGAGAGGAGAAAGGGAGUAGCCUGACGGUCGUCUUCCACCUCCGCCUACGCCCUCGCCCUCCACCUCCACCUACGCCCCCGCCGGAAAUAGUACAAUGGCCAAGGAAAUAGGCAGGAGGCACCGCUUCCCGGAUGGACAUGGACAUGCUUCUCCAACUCUGCUUCUUCCUGGGUCGCCAUGGAAGGUACUCCAUGUUAUGCUCUGCUAUGCUCCAUGUUAUGCUUGCUGAAACUUACUGAUGCAUAAUUAAGUCAAGAUAAAACUGUAGAAAUCUCAAACUUUAGCAUGGACUGAAUAAUGUUUGUGCAUAAUUCAGUCAAAUUCAGUUAAGGAUUUUGUUACGAUUGUUACUGGAUCAUCCAUGGACUGAAUAAUUCAGUCAAAUUCAGCUAAGAUCAUUCAUGGAAUUGUUCUUGCAAUCAAUCACGAGCUUCAUUCAUUCGUUCAUUCAGAGGGAUAAUUGUUUACAACCUGUGCAAAUUGUCCAUUUUUUGAUUUGUUAGCAUCACUCAGUCAUCCACCAUUACACUUUCCUUGUCCUGCCUUUUUGUUGUGAAUUGUGGAAGCUGUGCUUGCUUUAAAUUGCAGUAGGAAGAACUUGCUUUAACAGAAUUUGCUUGCAGCAGCAGUAGCUUGCAAUUUUGCUUGCUUGCACUGCUUGAGUAGUCCCCCCUACAGACUCUGUAGCAAGUGCAGUAGUGUCCUCUCUCCCUCUCUUCUUUUUCAGUACAGUAGGAGCAUUCUCUUAUCUGCUUUAACUGUAACUUUGACUGAAACAAUUUUCUAUUAAUUAAAAUAAAUUCAAACCUUUUCCUUUAAUUAACUUAAACCUUUUAAUUUACUCCUCCAGUAAUAAUUAACUGAAACCUUUUGUGUUAACUCAAAUUAACUAAAACAUUUUUUGUUAAUAAAAAUAAACUGAAGCCUUUUCCUUUAAUUAACUUAAAUCUUUUCAGUUAAGGAGUACUCCUCCAGUAGUAUUGGUCAUUCAGGAGUAGUUAUAUCUGUCAUUCAGGAGUACUGUUAAUUCGGGAGGAGUAAAAUUAACUUGUGCUUGCAGUAUAAGGCUAGCUAGAUUAACCUGGGCAUCUUGCUCUUGUCUAAUAGUGCAGAUUAGAUAGUGACAAGAAAAAGCUAACAAAGUAUGAUGUUCUACUGUAGGUAGUGACAAGGCUAUUAUUACUGCCAAAAAAAACAGAGAUAAUGUCUUUUAACCUGGGCAUAUUGCUGUUGUCUUUUAACCUGGGCAUGUUGCGCCAAAAAAAACAGAGAUAUUGUCUUUUAACCUGGGCAUCUUGCUCUUGUCUAAUAGUGCAGAUUAGAGAUCUGUUCAAUAAAUAUUAUCUUUACCAUACCAUUUUCUCUUCUAUACAGAAAGCAGUAAGAAUCUAAGAAAGCCGAAGCCUUCCAGCACACUGCAGCAAUAAGAAGAGCGCAAGUCGAACAGGGACACAGCUCACACACUACGGUGGACAGAAAGGUAUUUAACUGUUGGUACAAAGCUGGUUGGAGAUACCUCUGUCCUGUGAUGCUUUUUCAAUGUAGUUGGAGUUCAAGUUAAAGAUGCGAUCUGAGUAGUACUGUAAUAUGCAGGUAACUACAUUGCUGAAACAAUUGAUGAUGGCAAACCUAGGGCAUGAUGGGCACCGUUGAACAUAACAAAGGUGGAUCUCCGUCCUUUGCAGCAACAGCCGUCGCCUCGCAACAGCCGUCGAGCGAAGGUUGUGGUUCGGACGCCGAGGUUGCGGUCUAGUUGUGCUGAUUGCACAGCUGGGUCGAUGGAGCUCCUACGCGAGGAAGAACUGGCGUUUCUGUCCCUGGUGGCGACGUGCGUUGGCGGGUCGAUGGAGCUCGUUCGAUGGUUUGAUUUUUGGUAGAUUUUUUUUUUUGGUAGAUGGACCUCGUUCGUGGGUUGCUGAACUGUUUUGUUUGUUGGCUGGGCGUGUGAUCGUGGGGUUUGGCUCGUUUGACUGGUGGUCCAUGGGCCGAAUAUCGGAUGAGUUGCCCUUGUUUUUUUUGGGCUUGCGGGAUGGAUUUUGUGCGGGCGUGUGGGACACCGCGCGAUGGCUGUCGUACGAGGCGGGGGGAUCGAACGAGGUGGUUGAACCAUCACGACGUCCGAUCCCCCUUUAAUAGUAGAGAUUCGCAAUAUCCAGAUUGCAUAUCAUAGUUAUU